GAAUUCCAGUGAUCCACACAAUCUUUUUGGAUCUUGGAGACCAGAUUUGGGUGGAAGUUAAGGAGGGGUUGUUUAUUUGAGGAUUUGCUAUCAAUUUCAGCUAUUGUUUAAAGAUUCUACACCAUAUUGCCUAUGCGCUAUGGUUCUUGAUGUCCCCUCCCAGAGAUAUGUUGAUGAUGGAAUUAUGGCUAGAGUUACUUAUUGCAACCUGACCUGAUCCACUUCCUGUGGUGGGAAAUGAUAGUUUGAUAAAAUGAAAAGGGGAAUACAGGGUAUGUAUCUCAGC
Molecule: long non-coding RNA, 286 nt
Filed under: Helianthus annuus (common sunflower)
Lineage: Eukaryota; Viridiplantae; Streptophyta; Magnoliopsida; Asterales; Asteraceae
Description: hypothetical non coding rna
Source: RNAcentral